This 797-nucleotide long non-coding RNA is filed under the name Homo sapiens (human). RNAcentral's name for it is "HSALNT0037310". Lineage: Eukaryota; Metazoa; Chordata; Mammalia; Primates; Hominidae. The record is from RNAcentral.
AAAGGAUCAACUUCUGAGUUUCGGAGUUCUCUGGGAUUCCAGGAAAUGAGGUCUAUGUCUGGAAUCUGAAACAUUGCACCCAAAGCGGCCCUGCAAAGUCCCUCCCCACCACUGGGCCCUCUCCCUCCCCAACGGCUACUUUCCUUUUUGUUACUAUUUCCUAAAAGGAAUGACUUUUAUAAAUUUAAAUAAACACUCAUUAUUUUGGAAAGAGAUGUGCAAAAGUAAAUCUGUAUUUAGGCAAUUAUAUUGUAGGAACAUGCAGUUGGAAGGAUUACUGUGACCCUAAGUGAGGGAUGGCUAUCCUGUGCUAACUGGCCCUUCUGAACUGUACUCCUUUAUGUUUUAGCAUUCAUGUUAAAGAUCACUCAAUGAUAUAUGUAAGCUUCUCUUUCAUAUGUCUACGUGACUGUAUGUUCCUACCAUACUACUUGAAUAUUGUAACUUUGUAAUAUGUUUUGAAAUCAGGAAGUGUGAGGCCUCCAGCUUUGUUUCUCUCUCUCAAGAUUGUUUUGGUUAUUUGGGGUUCUUUGAGGUAAAUAUAAAUUUUAGCAUUUUUUAAAUAAUUUUGAAAAAUUUUUUCCAAUUUUGAAAAAAAUGCCAUAGGGAUUUUGUUAGGGAUUCCAUUGAAUCUGUAGAUCACUUUGAAUAGUAUGAACAUUUUAACAAUAUAAAGUCUUCCAGUCAAUAAAGAUGGGAUAUCUUUCCACUUAUUUGUGUCUUCUUUAAUUUCUUUCAGCAGUCCUUUGUAGUUUUCAGUGCCUGUCUCAUGCCUCUUUGGUUGAGUUUAUUCCUAA